AUGUGCAAAAUAUUUUCUGUGCCCAUGCAAGAUAAAAAAUGUUUUAUUCUAAGUUUGUUUACAUUUAAAGAAUUAAGCGGAAAUAAAUAUGAUAAUGCGAAAGAUUAUAAUAAAUAUAUUGAUGAUUUAUUAAAACCUAAAUUAGAAAAAAUAAAAUCAAGUGAAGAUAAAUUACCUGCAGAAGAAUUUUUUUUAGCAAAUGUUAAAUUUUUACCAAGUUUUUUAUAUUACCCUCAUAAUUAUAAUAUUAAAAAAAAAGAAGAACCUAUGAAUACAAUUCUAUCGGAUAUAUAUAAUAAUUUGGAAUCUCUUUUAUUUGUAUUUAAUUUUGAUGAGGAUGUAGAUGAUAUGUUAUUAAAUGAAUGGUAUGAUAAAUUAGAAAUGUAUAUACAAUUACUUAAUGAAAAUAUGUUGACAUAUAUAUAUAUUAAAAACCCUGAUAAUACAUCUUUUAAACACGAAUUAGAAAAAAACAAAAAAUGGAAAGUUGCUAUUGUUAAUGAUGGUGUAAUAGAAAAUAGUGAAAACAUGUCUAUUAUUUUAGGAAUGAAAUCUAAUUGUUUAUUUGUUAUACUUUCUUUAAUUUUUAUGAUUUCUUCAGUCAAUUAUUUAUUAUAUAAUGAAUUAUCAAUUGGAAACAGAAUUUUAUUAAUAGGAAUAGUUUAUUUAUUAACUUUAUUUACUUUCUGUAGUAGUAUAUUGUUAAAUAUAUUAUGGGGUGUAGGUGUGUUAAGAAUAUUUUUAUUAAAUUAUCUUUUUAUAUAUUUUUUAAGUUUUUUAUUUUUUUGCGUUAAUAUAUUUUAUUAUAAACAAAGUGUUAGCAAGUAUUUGCAAGUGGUAGUUGGUACGUAUUGUACAGAUGUAUAUGGUAAUGAUGAACAUCGUAGUGAUGUAUAUGGUAUUAGUGAAGGACCUACUUGUGAAAAUUAUGCUAAUGAGUCAAUUGUCAGUAAGUGCGAUAACAGACAAAACAAUAAAAGCACAAACAUUAAUAACUAUUUUGUCAAAGCGUCAUAUAAAUCAUUAUUAUUUGUAAGCAAGAUUUGUAUAAUACUUAUCAGUACAUAUUUUGUAGGUUUUACUAGUAGCUAUAAAAUUUUUAAAUUGUUUUGCAUAAAUUCUAUAUUAGCUAUUUUUUCUUUAUAUUUGUUUUAUGCAAUAUUUUUUAAUACUACCUUUUUUAUGUUUUUUCAAAAAAAUAAAAAAUUGGUUUACGAGUCCCCUGAUACAAAUGAUAAAUAUAUAAUCACAUUAAAUAACAAAGGAGUAACUUUGACUAAAUGUGCGAUUAUGAAUGUGAUUAUGAACGAGGUCAUAACGAAAGAUAUAACUGGGAAAAAAAUUAAAACCAUAACUAGGAACAUAAGUGAACCCAAUUUAAUAAUAAAAAACAAAGAAAAAGAAACAAUUUUAAAUAUUAAUCACAAUUGUCGUAAUUUAUCAUUAUAUAACAAUGAAUUGCAAGUACAAUCUAGUUCAUCUUUUAAUGGGUAUGAUAACGAUAUGAUAAUAGAACAAAAUAAAAACAAUAAUUUAAACAAGUUAAGGAACGAUUUACAACUAUAUAGAAAAGAAGAUAACACACUUAUGUCAAAUGUGGCAAUUACAAAUGAAUAUAUUUCACCAUGUACUACUACAAUUUCUCCCCUCACUGACAAUAACAAUGUCAAUAGUAAUAGAAAUGUCAAUAGUAAUAGAAAUGUUAAUAGCAAUAGAAAUGAAAAUAGUAAUAGAAAUGAAAAUAGCAAUAGAAAUGAAAAUAGCAAUAGAAAUGANNNNNNNNNNAAAUGA
RNAcentral lists this long non-coding RNA (1791 nucleotides) under Piliocolobus tephrosceles (Ugandan red Colobus). RNAcentral's name for it is "lncRNA (ENSPTEG00000009117.1)". The record is from RNAcentral. Lineage: Eukaryota; Metazoa; Chordata; Mammalia; Primates; Cercopithecidae.